GUGGGGAAUAUUGGGCAAUGGGCGAAAGCCUGACCCAGCAACGCCGCGUGAGCGAUGAAGGCCUUAGGGUUGUAAAGCUCUUUCAGAUGGGAAGAUAAUGACGGUACCAUCAGAAGAAGCCCCGGCUAACUCCGUGCCAGCAGCCGCGGUAAUACGGAGGGGGCUAGCGUUGUUCGGAAUUACUGGGCGUAAAGGGCGCGUAGGCGGGAAGGUGUGUCGACCUGUAAAUCUAUCGUUCCACGCGGUAGGCUUGGGUUGAAACUGCCUUUCUAGAGGAUUUCAGGGGAGUUUGGAAUGUACGGUGUAGCAGUGAAAUGCGUGUAUAUCGUAAGGAAGGCUUGUGGCGAAGGCGAAACUCUGGGGAAUGCCUGACGCUGAGGCGCGAAGGCUAGGUUAGCAAACGGGAUUAGAAACCCGUGUAGUCC
This 425-nucleotide ribosomal RNA is filed under the name uncultured bacterium. Its description in RNAcentral is "partial 16S ribosomal RNA". It matches the Rfam family "Bacterial small subunit ribosomal RNA", at positions 354 to 796 of the family's 1533-position model. The record is from RNAcentral.